CCUACGGGUGACAGCAGUGGGGGAUAUUGCACAAUGGGGGAAACCCUGAUGCAGCGACGCCGCGUGGGUGAAGAAGCGCCUCGGCGCGUAAAGCCCUGUCAGCAGGGAAGAAAAUGACGGUACCUGAAGAAGAAGCCCCGGCUAACUACGUGCCAGCAGCCGCGGUAAUACGUAGGGGGCCAGCGUUAUCCGGAUUUACUGGGUGUAAAGGGGGCGCAGACGGGGAUGCAAGCCAGGAGUGAAAGCCCGGGGCCCAACCCCGGGACUGCUCUUGGAACUGCGGGGCUAGAGUGCAGGAGGGGCAGGCGGAAUUCCUGGUGUAGCGGUGAAAUGCGUAGAUAUCAGGAGGAACACCGGUGGCGAAGGCGGCCUGCUGGACUGCAACUGACGUUGAGGCCCGAAAGCGUGGGGAGCAAACAGGAUUAGAUACCCCAGUAGUC
This 440-nucleotide ribosomal RNA is filed under the name uncultured bacterium. Its description in RNAcentral is "partial 16S ribosomal RNA". It matches the Rfam family "Bacterial small subunit ribosomal RNA", at positions 338 to 795 of the family's 1533-position model. The record is from RNAcentral.